RNAcentral lists this transfer RNA (74 nucleotides) under Ignavibacteria bacterium GWA2_55_11. RNAcentral's name for it is "tRNA-Met". It matches the Rfam family "tRNA". From Rfam's summary of the family: Transfer RNA (tRNA) molecules are approximately 80 nucleotides in length. Their secondary structure includes four short double-helical elements and three loops (D, anti-codon, and T loops). RNAcentral also lists the same sequence under 4 other names. The record is from RNAcentral. Lineage: Bacteria; Pseudomonadati; Ignavibacteriota; Ignavibacteria.
GGGCCCUUAGCUCAGUUGGUUAGAGCAGCGGACUCAUAAUCCGCCGGUCGCUGGUUCGAGCCCAGCAGGGCCCA